GGGCUCGUGGUCUAGUGGUAUGACGUCGCCUUGACACGGCGGAGGUCUCGAGUUCGAGUCUCGACGAGCCCA
Molecule: transfer RNA, 72 nt
Filed under: Methanomicrobiales archaeon
Lineage: Archaea; Methanobacteriati; Methanobacteriota; Methanomicrobia; Methanomicrobiales
Description: tRNA-Val
Rfam family: tRNA
About the family: Transfer RNA (tRNA) molecules are approximately 80 nucleotides in length.
Source: RNAcentral